This is a non-coding RNA of Urocitellus parryii (Arctic ground squirrel), 574 nucleotides long. The record is from RefSeq and is a predicted model, not a curated record. NCBI's taxonomy places the organism in Eukaryota, Metazoa, Chordata, Mammalia, Rodentia, Sciuridae.
GCUGCGGUUUGAGUGACUCRGAGUUCCCAGGCUCCACACCGGUCUUGGGCCCUCGAUGGACCCUCGCAGGAGGGCUCAGGCAAUGCAGAGUCUUCAGGUGCUACCAGGUGCCAGGGCGGGGUCAUCAGCGGGGGAAGGACUGAGAAUUGAGCAGAGAAAUGCGAAUUACAGUUUGAUCUUAUUAAAUUAAGCCCUGGACUGAUCAGCUAGUUCCAGGGAAGCAAAACAACAGUAAGCCCAAAUUUGGGUGGUUAUCAAAGACAGGGCUGCUCUAGAAAGUUCAUAGAAAAAGGAUAUGCGGUAUUUUCAACGACUACCCAAAGAGCUGAUGUGAAGGACCUGCACUGCCAAGAGCCUCAAACUCCUUUCUAAAGCACACAGCCUCAGGGCUCUGCCCAUCUCCUGGCUCUUCAGUGUGGGGACCCUACUCCUGCUCUGUGAAGCAAGUUCCUGGGUGAAGAGCCAACCAAUGGAACCGCAGGAAAGCCACUCUGAGGCAGAAAUUUAUUUAUUACAAUUCUGGAGGCUGGGAAGUCGAAGACCAAGAUGCCUGGUGAGUAUAAAUAAAAAGAAC